RNAcentral lists this ribosomal RNA (134 nucleotides) under Providencia rettgeri. Its description in RNAcentral is "partial 16S ribosomal RNA". It matches the Rfam family "Bacterial small subunit ribosomal RNA", at positions 1 to 130 of the family's 1533-position model. Lineage: Bacteria; Pseudomonadati; Pseudomonadota; Gammaproteobacteria; Enterobacterales; Morganellaceae. The record is from RNAcentral.
UAAUUGAAGAGUUUGAUCAUGGCUCAGAUUGAACGCUGGCGGCAGGCCUAACACAUGCAAGUCGAGCGGUAACAGGGGAAGCUUGCUUCUCGCUGACGAGCGGCGGACGGGUGAGUAAUGUAUGGGGAUCUGCC